RNAcentral lists this ribosomal RNA (468 nucleotides) under uncultured bacterium. Its description in RNAcentral is "partial 16S ribosomal RNA". It matches the Rfam family "Bacterial small subunit ribosomal RNA", at positions 28 to 507 of the family's 1533-position model. The record is from RNAcentral.
GACGAACGCUGGCGGCGUGCCUAACACAUGCAAGUCGAACGGAAAGGCCCGGCUUUUGUGGGGUGGUCGAGUGGCGAACGGGUGAGUAACACGUGAGUAACCUGUACCUGACUUUGGGAUAUCUUCAGGAAACUGGGGCUCUUACCGGAUAGGAGCUCUUGCUGCAUGGUGGGGGUUGGUUAGUUUCGGCGGUUGGGGAUGGAAUGGCGGCUUAUGAGCUUGUUGGUUGGGUAGUGGAUUACCAAGGUUUUGAAGGGUAGCCGGCCUGAGAGGGUCACCGGCCACAUUAGGACUGAGAUACGGCACAGCCUGCAACGGGAGGCAGCGGGGGAGAGUAUGACACAGUAGGCGGAAGCCAGAUGUGGCGACGCCGCGUGCGGGAUGACGUGCUUCGGGUUGUGAACCAAUGUCGCCUUUGACGAGGCGUGAGUGACGGUACUGGGUAAAGAAGCACCGGCUAACUACGUG